GUCGAGAAUCUUCCGCAAUGCGCGAAAGCGUGACGGAGCGACACCGCGUGAUGGAUGAAGUCCUUCGGGGCGUAAACAUCUUUUAUAAAGGAGGAAAUUUUUGACGUUACUUUAUGAAUAGGGGGCUCCCAAUCUCGUGCCAGCAGGAGCGGUAAUACGAGAGCCUCAAGCGUUAUCCGGAAUCAUUGGGCGUAAAGGGUGCGUAGGUGGUUUGAUUAGUCUCCCGUUAAAACUUCGAGCUUAACACGAAAAGAGCGGGGGAAAAGGUCAAACUAGAGUAUGUGAGAGGUGUGUGGAACUCAUGGUGUAGGGGUGAAAUCCGUUGAUAUCAUGGGGAACACCAAAAGCGAAGGCAGCACACUGGCACAUCACUGACACUGAGGCACGAAACCUAAGGUAGCGAAUGGGAUUAGAUACCCGGGUAGUCC
This 428-nucleotide ribosomal RNA is filed under the name uncultured bacterium. RNAcentral's name for it is "partial 16S ribosomal RNA". It matches the Rfam family "Bacterial small subunit ribosomal RNA", at positions 354 to 796 of the family's 1533-position model. The record is from RNAcentral.